AAAUGACUCUCGGCAACGGAUAUCUCGGCUCUCGCAUCGAUGAAGAACGUAGCAAAAUGCGAUACGUGGUGUGAAUUGCAGAAUUCUGUGAACCAUCGAGUUUUUGAACGCAAGUUGCGCCCGAAGCCAUUCGGCCGAGGGCACGUCUGCCUGGGCGUCACGC
Molecule: ribosomal RNA, 163 nt
Filed under: Elatostema variolaminosum var. latum
Lineage: Eukaryota; Viridiplantae; Streptophyta; Magnoliopsida; Rosales; Urticaceae
Description: 5.8S ribosomal RNA
Rfam family: 5.8S ribosomal RNA
About the family: 5.8S ribosomal RNA (5.8S rRNA) is a component of the large subunit of the eukaryotic ribosome. It is transcribed by RNA polymerase I as part of the 45S precursor that also contains 18S and 28S rRNA.
Source: RNAcentral